This 762-nucleotide ribosomal RNA is filed under the name Triticum aestivum (bread wheat). RNAcentral's name for it is "partial small subunit ribosomal RNA". Lineage: Eukaryota; Viridiplantae; Streptophyta; Magnoliopsida; Poales; Poaceae. The record is from RNAcentral.
AUGGCAAACCCCCUUAAGAGUAUUGUGGCGCCCAUCCGUUGUGCAAAUAUCGAUCUGGAUGAUAUCCUCCAAAGCUUCCCUGCCAUCCGAACUAGAUUCCCGCUGUGUAACCUGGGCCUUCCUCUUUCCACACAUAUCCUCACAAAAUCUGACUGUCAUUUCUUGGUGGACAAGGUCGCCCAGAAACUUCCUCCUUGGCAAGGCAGAAACAUCAAUAUUGCUGGUAGAUCCACUCUUGUGAAGUAUGUGUUAUCCUCCCAGAUCAUCUACUACCUCACCGCACUCGAUAUUCCAGUUGGGACCACAGAUGAUAUAGCUAAGAUUCAAAGGUCUUCUUAUGGACUGGCACAAAUAAGUUGUCAGGAGAGAGCUUGGGUUGGUUUUGACAUCCCUUGUGAUGACGAUGACCUAGAUCUUUUCUACUCUGUGACGACUCUUACCAUGGGUGAUGGCACGAAGGCGAGUUUCUGGUUCGCUCCCUGGCUACAGGGGCAAAAGCCAAAGGACAUGGCUCCGGGUAUCUUCGCCCUUUCAAAGCGCAAGAAUGCCUGUGUGGCAAAGGCUUUGACAAACAGUGACUGGAUUCGCCGUAUCAACAUGCAGGGAGGCCUCUCUGUCGGCCACAUACAACAAUUUGUUAAUCUUUGGAGCAAGGUCCAGGAGGUACAACUCACGGCGGGCACAGAGGAUGUCAUUCAAUGGAAAUUUACGACGGAUGGAUGCUACUCUGUUGCCACGGCGUACAGAAUGCAAUUGGCUUGA